Molecule: ribosomal RNA, 429 nt
Filed under: uncultured bacterium
Lineage: Bacteria
Description: bacterial SSU rRNA
Rfam family: Bacterial small subunit ribosomal RNA
Source: RNAcentral
AAUGAACGCUGGCGGCGUGCUUAACACAUGCAAGUCGAACGAGAAAGGGAUUGCUUGCAAUCCUGAGUAGAGUGGCGCACGGGUGAGUAACACGUAGAUAAUCUACCUUCAAGCCUGGGAUAACUAUUCGAAAGGAUAGCUAAUACCGGAUGAAGUGGUUUAACACAAGUUGAAUCAUGAAAGAUUGCCUCUUCUUGAAAGCAAUUGUUUGGAGAUGAGUUUGCGGACCAUUAGUUUGUUGGUGGGGUAAAGGCCUACCAAGACUACGAUGGUUAGCUGGUCUGAGAGGAUGAUCAGCCACACUGGAACUGGUACACGGUCCAGACUCCUACGGGAGGCAGCAGUGAGGAAUUUUGCGCAAUGGGGGCAACCCUGACGCAGCAACGCCGCGUGAGUGAAGAAGGCCUUUGGGUCGUAAAGCUCUGUCGA